GUUGAAGAAAACAGUAAGUGCUCCCAAAUUCAAUCCUUGACAUCACAUGUGCCAGAGCAGUGGCCUGGGUAGAUUUUUCUCUCUCACACCUAACAGCACAGGGCAACUGCUGUCAAGGAGGUUAAGCCUUGGCCGGAGAUGGAGAGAACCAUAAGUGCUCUCAAGGUAGAUCUAGGAUAGUACAUGUACCAGAGAGAUGAUCUGGGUAGGUCUCUCUCCAUCCUAGGUGAGGGAAAUAAUAAGUGUUUGAAGAUGAGUGGCAGCUAUUAAAGAAUUUGAAUCUCAUGCAUGUUUUUCAAAUAUUCCCUUCCUAAUGUCACUAGUGACACACUGCUAUUCCCACAAUUAAAUGAACUGAUUCUGGUGCAACAUUAGAACAAGUCUGCAUGUUGACUGGGAUGAGUCUCCUGUGUACCCGGGCCUGUGACCACAUGAGCAGGCUGGGGACAGGGAUGCCAUGGGCAUUGGGGCACAUGUCAGUGGGGCCAGUGACAUCUGCAGGAGCAUCACGGAGGAUGGCAGCCAGUGGAGGACAUACCAGAACCAGAGACCAGUUUGCCACAGAGACCAAGACAGAGAAGUGGACUUCUGACUCUCCUACAGUGUGAAAGGCGAAUAGUAAGGUACCAGUAGCAGGCAUGGGAGAAGCAUCCACACAGCUGUGGUGUCACCAGCUUUCAGAUACCCUUGAGCACAGGCAGAGCAAUAGGAAGAUUGGACAAUUCCAACAGGGAGGUGACUCUCUUUCUCUUACAUAUCAUGGAAUAAGGCAAUUGCUGCCCAGGAGGUUAAGACUUGGCUUAGGCUGGAGAGAAAAAAGUAAGUGCUCCCACGUUCAAUCCCUGACAUUACAGGUGCUAGGGUGAUGAUCUGUAGAUGUCUUUUUCCUUCACAUGUUAGAGAAAUAUUUCUUUGAAGAUGGAUGACAGUUAUUAAAGAAUUCAAAUCUCA
Long non-coding RNA from Erinaceus europaeus (western European hedgehog), 951 nucleotides. RefSeq lists it as uncharacterized. The record is from RefSeq and is a predicted model, not a curated record. The transcript is spliced from 4 exons. NCBI's taxonomy places the organism in Eukaryota, Metazoa, Chordata, Mammalia, Eulipotyphla, Erinaceidae.